Molecule: long non-coding RNA, 1267 nt
Organism: Phacochoerus africanus (Common warthog)
Lineage: Eukaryota; Metazoa; Chordata; Mammalia; Artiodactyla; Suidae
Exons: 3
Source: RefSeq, a predicted model, not a curated record
GUUCUUUUUGAUGACAGCCAUUCUGACAGGUCUAUUCUGCCCAGACUGGAACGCAUCAUCUAAUGCAGUUCUGAGCAUUGAAGGGAAAUCAUAUUGAAGAUUUCACCCUUGAAGUUAAUUGCGAAGUUUGCCGCAGAUGGCUAAUGAGUCAAAGACAAGAAGCCACAGAAACAGAAAAAAGAGCAAGCCGGUUGACUCUACAAGGCAAGCAGUGCAGAUGCUUCGGCUAUAACUUCAAAGACCAGCAGACUUGAGCUGUCCUAAGACCUACCUGCUCUCAAGUCACCGUUCACCUGAGCCACAUUCAACAGACAGACCUCCUCCUCCUCCUCCUCCUCUGAAAUCUUAAUAUGCCUGCUUUCUGGGGCUUCUGAUCACAGAAUGUUACUGCUGAAAAGCACUUCGGAGGCCAGGACUCUGGACAAACCUCUUUCACAGAUCAACAGUCCCAGAGAGGUUAAACAACUUGCCCAACUGUGCACUUGAUCUCAGAGUCAAUGAAGUGUUCGCCAGAGAGGAGGAAGUCCAGUAUCUUAGUUUUCUUUUUCUCUUUGCCAGAUCAGUGUAAUUUAGAUGGCACUAAAUAAAUACUGUGUGCUGAAUCUCAAAAAUAUUCAAAAUUCCAACCAUACCCCCCCAAAGAAAAUCACUGUGAAUGUCAUCUAAACAUGGAUAUGUGUAAGUACAUAGUCUUAAGAUAAAUUUACCAUGUUACAGGAGGUCCAGAAGCUAGAAUCAUUCAGACUUGUUCCAUAUCCCCUUGAUACUUAACAUUUAUCAAGUGCUUUGCAAUCUAAGUUACUCUUUCAUUUGGGUCUCACAACAGUUCCCAGGAAGUAAAGGCCAGGAAAACUUAAGACCUGCUUGUGUUUGGCCUGUAAGUAGAGAAUAUAGGACUUGGCCCAUGAGGCCAAAUUCACAGCCCUCUCCCCUAGACUGUGAUGCCUCAGGUGCCUAUAGACUUUCUUCAAAAACAAAAGCCUGUGCUGCUUUGACUCUUCCAUGGGAAAAAAAGAAAAUUAAAGAAACUAGCAUUUUUUCUUCCUUAACAGCGUGUUAAGGAUUACAAACCCCUGCCCUAUUGACCUACCAGGGCUUAAUGCAUACCUGAAACUCUUUCUUGCUCCAAAAGCUUAGUGUAAAGAUUGAAUAUCUGUUCCUGGACUUUGCACACAGAUCGUUUAAUCUUUUCCCUGCGGGUCACCAUGUAAGUGAGGUUCCGAACCUAGAACGUAGAGAAUAAAGAUUCUAAGUAAGCAAUACAUUA